This 429-nucleotide ribosomal RNA is filed under the name uncultured bacterium. RNAcentral describes it as "bacterial SSU rRNA". It matches the Rfam family "Bacterial small subunit ribosomal RNA", at positions 354 to 776 of the family's 1533-position model. The record is from RNAcentral.
GUAGGGAAUUUUCGUCAAUGGGCGCAAGCCUGAACGAGCAAUGCCGCGUGAGUGAGGAAGGCCUUCGGGUCGUAAAGCUCUGUUGCGAGGGAAAAAGGAACGGAAGAGGAAAUGAUUCCGUUUUGAUGGUACCUCGCCAGAAAGUCACGGCUAACUACGUGCCAGCAGCCGCGGUAAUACGUAGGUGGCAAGCGUUAUCCGGAAUGAUUGGGCGUAAAGGGUGCGCAGGCGGCAUAUCAAGUCUGAAGUGAAAGGUACGGGCUCAACCUGUACAGGCUUUGGAAACUGGUAUGCUCGAGGACAGGAGAGGGCGGUGGAACUCCACGUGUAGCGGUAAAAUGCGUAGAGAUGUGGAAGAACACCAGUGGCGAAGGCGGCCGCCUGGCCUGUAACUGACGCUCAGGCACGAAAGCGUGGGGAGCAAAUAGG